Lutra lutra (Eurasian river otter) is the source of this 337-nucleotide long non-coding RNA. RefSeq lists it as uncharacterized. Lineage: Eukaryota; Metazoa; Chordata; Mammalia; Carnivora; Mustelidae. The transcript is spliced from 3 exons. The record is from RefSeq and is a predicted model, not a curated record.
UUAACCAACUGAGCCACCCAGCAACCAUAGGAAAUGAAGACAGUCCUGGAAUCAGGCCACUGCCUAUCCUCACUAUCUGCCUCCAUACACACUUCCAGAGAAGAGUGAAGGGAGCAACUUUGGUUCCUGAGGACAACUUGGACUGAAACAACUUCACCCAUAAUGUGAGCCCAUGACUGUAGUUGCUUAUGUCUUUUUCUCUCCUACUUUCAUUUAUUUCUCUUUUCCUCUCUUCAUUUGACUUGUCAACACAACAGAGGAGUUGAUAGUGAAUUAUUGAAAUGUAUUAUACACUCUGAGUUGUUUUAAAGGAAAGCAUUAAUAUUAAUAUUUAUUA